ACACCCUCAAGCCCUGCUUGGUGUUGGGCGUCUGUCCCGUAGUGGACUCGCCCCAAAGGCAUUGGCAGCGGUCCUGCCGGACCUCCUAAUCGCGCAGCACUGUUCGCGCCUCCUGGAGCCCGUGCGGAUUCGGCGUCCAUCAAGCCCCAAUCUUUCUGA
RNAcentral lists this unclassified non-coding RNA (159 nucleotides) under uncultured Ascomycota. Its description in RNAcentral is "sequence contains ITS2". The record is from RNAcentral. Lineage: Eukaryota; Fungi; Ascomycota.